ACGUCAAGUCCUCAUGGCCCUUAUGGGUAGGGCUUCACACGUCAUACAAUGGUCGGUACAGAGGGUUGCCAAGCCGCGAGGUGGAGCCAAUCCCAGAAAACCGAUCGUAGUCCGGAUCGCAGUCUGCAACUCGACUGCGUGAAGUCGGAAUCGCUAGUAAUCGCGGAUCAGAAUGCCGCGGUGAAUACGUUCCCGGGUCUUGUACACACCGCCCGUCACACCAUGGGAGUGGGUUCUACCAGAAGUGGCUAGUCUAACCGCAAGGAGGACGGUCACCACGGUAGGAUUCAUGACUGGGGUGAAGUCGUAACAAGGUAGCCGUAUCGGAAGGUGCGGCUGGAUCACCUCCUUUCUA
This 355-nucleotide ribosomal RNA is filed under the name Polynucleobacter sp. 32-46-5. RNAcentral describes it as "bacterial SSU rRNA". It matches the Rfam family "Bacterial small subunit ribosomal RNA", at positions 1182 to 1533 of the family's 1533-position model. Lineage: Bacteria; Pseudomonadati; Pseudomonadota; Betaproteobacteria; Burkholderiales; Burkholderiaceae. The record is from RNAcentral.